Molecule: ribosomal RNA, 896 nt
Filed under: [Graphium] album
Lineage: Eukaryota; Fungi; Ascomycota; Sordariomycetes; Microascales; Graphiaceae
Description: LSU rRNA
Rfam family: Eukaryotic large subunit ribosomal RNA
Source: RNAcentral
GCAUAUCAAUAAGCGGAGGAAAAGAAACCAACAGGGAUUGCCCCAGUAACGGCGAGUGAAGCGGCAACAGCUCAAAUUUGAAAUCUGGCCCUCGGGUCCGAGUUGUAAUUUGGAGAGGAUGCUUUUGGCGCGGCGCCGUCCGAGUUCCUUGGAACAGGACGCCAUAGAGGGUGAGAGCCCCGUACGGGCGGCCGCCUAGCCUUUGUAAAGCUCCUUCGACGAGUCGAGUAGUUUGGGAAUGCUGCUCAAAAUGGGAGGUAAAUUUCUUCUAAAGCUAAAUACCGGCCAGAGACCGAUAGCGCACAAGUAGAGUGAUCGAAAGAUGAAAAGCACUUUGAAAAGAGGGUUAAAAAGUACGUGAAAUUGUUGAAAGGGAAGCGCCUGUGACCAGACUUGCGGCCCGUGGAUCAUCCGGUGUUCUUCACCGGUGCACUCCGCGGGCUGCAGGCCAGCAUCGGUUUUCCUAGGGGGAUAAAGGUCGCGGGAACGUAGCUCCCUCGGGAGUGUUAUAGCCCGUGGCGUCAUGCCUCUGGGGGGACCGAGGACCGCGCUUCGGCAAGGAUGCUGGCGUAAUGGUCACCGGCGACCCGUCUUGAAACACGGACCAAGGAGUCAAGCAUUGGGGCGAGUGUCUGGGUGCCAAACCCGCACGCGAAAUGAAAGUAAACGCAGGUGAGAGCUUCGGCGCAUCACCGACCGAUCCUGAUGUUCUCGGAUGGAUUUGAGUAAGAGCCUUACCGCUUGGACCCGAAAGAUGGUGAACUAUGCCUGUAUAGGGUGAAGCCAGAGGAAACUCUGGUGGAGGCUCGCAGCGGUUCUGACGUGCAAAUCGAUCGUCAAAUAUGGGCAUGGGGGCGAAAGACUAAUCGAACCAUCUAGUAGCUGGUUACCGCCGA